UUGAACGCUGGCGGCAUGCCUUACACAUGCAAGUCGAACGGCAGCACGGGAGCAAUCCUGGUGGCGAGUGGCGAACGGGUGAGUAAUGUAUCGGAACGUACCUUUCAGUGGGGGAUAACGUAGCGAAAGUUACGCUAAUACCGCAUAUUCUGUGAGCAGGAAAGCAGGGGAUCGCAAGACCUUGCGCUGAUUGAGCGGCCGAUAUCAGAUUAGCUAGUUGGUGAGGUAAAGGCUCACCAAGGCGACGAUCUGUAGCGGGUCUGAGAGGAUGAUCCGCCACACUGGAACUGAGACACGGUCCAGACUCCUACGGGAGGCAGCAGUGGGGAAUUUUGGACAAUGGGGGCAACCCUGAUCCAGCCAUGCCGCGUGAGUGAAGAAGGCCUUCGGGUUGUAAAGCUCUUUCAGCAGGAACGAAACGGUCGGCUUUAAUAAAGUCGGCUAAUGACGGUACCUGCAGAAGAAGCACCGGCUAACUACGU
This 482-nucleotide ribosomal RNA is filed under the name uncultured bacterium. RNAcentral describes it as "bacterial SSU rRNA". It matches the Rfam family "Bacterial small subunit ribosomal RNA", at positions 30 to 506 of the family's 1533-position model. The record is from RNAcentral.